Molecule: ribosomal RNA, 392 nt
Filed under: uncultured bacterium
Lineage: Bacteria
Description: bacterial SSU rRNA
Rfam family: Bacterial small subunit ribosomal RNA
Source: RNAcentral
AGGGACGACGGCCUUCGGGUUGUAAACCUCUUUUAGCAAGGAAGAAGCGAAAGUGACGGUACUUGCAGAAAAAGCGCCGGCUAACUACGUGCCAGCAGCCGCGGUAAUACGUAGGGCGCAAGCGUUAUCCGGAAUUAUUGGGCGUAAAGAGCUCGUAGGCGGUUUGUCGCGUCUGCUGUGAAAUCCCGAGGCUCAACCUCGGGCCUGCAGUGGGUACGGGCAGACUAGAGUGCGGUAGGGGAGAUUGGAAUUCCUGGUGUAGCGGUGGAAUGCGCAGAUAUCAGGAGGAACACCGAUGGCGAAGGCAGAUCUCUGGGCCGUAACUGACGCUGAGGAGCGAAAGGGUGGGGAGCAAACAGGAUUAGAUACCCUGGUAGUCCAAGGGCGAAUUC